GUCAGUGCAGGGAUGAUGGGAAUGGUAGUGAUCAGUCAGUACAGGGAUAAUGGGAAUGGUAGUUGUCAGUCAGUGCAGGGAUGAUGGGAAUGGUAGUCAGUCAGUGGAGGGAUAAUGGGAAUGGUAGUCAGUCAGUGGAGGGAUAAUGGGAAUGGUAGUUGUCAGUCAGUGCAGGGAUGAUGGGAAUGGUAGUUGUCAGUCAGUGCAGGGAUAAUGGGAAUGGUAG
Pelobates cultripes (western spadefoot toad) is the source of this 226-nucleotide non-coding RNA. The record is from the annotation of a GenBank genome assembly. Lineage: Eukaryota; Metazoa; Chordata; Amphibia; Anura; Pelobatidae.